RNAcentral lists this ribosomal RNA (777 nucleotides) under uncultured bacterium. Its description in RNAcentral is "bacterial SSU rRNA". It matches the Rfam family "Bacterial small subunit ribosomal RNA", at positions 8 to 782 of the family's 1533-position model. The record is from RNAcentral.
AGAGUUUGAUCCUGGCUCAGAUUGAACGCUGGCGGCAUGCCUUACACAUGCAAGUCGAACGGUAACAGGUCUUCGGACGCUGACGAGUGGCGAACGGGUGAGUAAUACAUCGGAACGUGCCCGAUCGUGGGGGAUAACGGAGCGAAAGCUUUGCUAAUACCGCAUACGAUCUACGGAUGAAAGCAGGGGACCGCAAGGCCUUGCGCGGACGGAGCGGCCGAUGGCAGAUUAGGUAGUUGGUGGGAUAAAAGCUUACCAAGCCGACGAUCUGUAGCUGGUCUGAGAGGAUGAUCAGCCACACUGGGACUGAGACACGGCCCAGACUCCUACGGGAGGCAGCAGUGGGGAAUUUUGGACAAUGGGCGCAAGCCUGAUCCAGCCAUGCCGCGUGCAGGAUGAAGGCCUUCGGGUUGUAAACUGCUUUUGUACGGAACGAAAAGCUUUCCUCUAAUAAAGGGGAGUCAUGACGGUACCGUAAGAAUGAGCACCGGCUAACUACGUGCCAGCAGCCGCGGUAAUACGUAGGGUGCAAGCGUUAAUCGGAAUUACUGGGCGUAAAGCGUGCGCAGGCGGUUUUGUAAGACAGAGGUGAAAUCCCCGGGCUCAACCUGGGAACUGCCUUUGUGACUGCAAGGCUGGAGUGCGGCAGAGGGGGAUGGAAUUCCGCGUGUAGCAGUGAAAUGCGUAGAUAUGCGGAGGAACACCGAUGGCGAAGGCAAUCCCCUGGGCCUGCACUGACGCUCAUGCACGAAAGCGUGGGGAGCAAAAAGGAUUAGA